RNAcentral lists this ribosomal RNA (254 nucleotides) under uncultured bacterium. RNAcentral's name for it is "partial 16S ribosomal RNA". It matches the Rfam family "Bacterial small subunit ribosomal RNA", at positions 524 to 776 of the family's 1533-position model. The record is from RNAcentral.
UACGUAGGGGGGCUAGCGUUGUCCGGAAUCAUUGGGCGUAAAGAGCGUGUAGGCGGUCCGGUAAGUCUGCUGUGAAAGUCGGGGGCUCAACCCUCGAAUGCCGGUGGAUACUGUCGGGCUAGAGUGCGGAAGAGGCGAGUGGAAUUCCUGGUGUAGCGGUGAAAUGCGCAGAUAUCAGGAGGAACACCUAUUGCGAAGGCAGCUCGCUGGGACGUAACUGACGCUGAGACGCGAAAGCGUGGGGAGCAAACAGG